RNAcentral lists this unclassified non-coding RNA (277 nucleotides) under Mycobacterium sp. M-JY5. Its description in RNAcentral is "partial 16S-23S intergenic spacer region". Lineage: Bacteria; Bacillati; Actinomycetota; Actinomycetes; Mycobacteriales; Mycobacteriaceae. The record is from RNAcentral.
CCUUUCUAAGGGAGCACCACGAGACCUGGCCGGCCCCGUAGAUUGCGGGAUCAGCCGAUUGUCAGGCGAUUCGUUGGAUGGCCUUUCGCCUGUAGUGGGUGGGGGUCUGGUGCGACAACAAACUUGUAAAACUGCCAGACACACUAUUGGGCUUUGAGACAACAGGCCCUGCGAUGCCCGUGCCUUUGUGGUGGGGGUUGUCGGCCUUCGACCCGUUGGGGUUGGUGGUGUUUGUUGUUGCCCUGCUUUGGUGGUGGGGUGUGGUGUUUGAUUUGUG